CUACACUAAGUUCUGGAGAUUUAUAUUGAAAACUUACAAAUCACAUGAUGAGUUCCUAGCAUAACAAACUACCUACCACAGCCAUACUUGCUAUAAUAUCUUUUACUUAUAUUCACAUUGAGUUUGAUCGAGCUGUGUAGACCCUUAGGAGCUUUUCAUGUGGUUAAAUUAAGAUAUUCACUUGCACACAUCUACUACACCAUCCACCGCCAUAUAUUAAAAUUGCUAAAAAUAUUAUCACUCAAUGUCCCAAAUAUUGUUAUUCUCUCUCUCUAAAAAGAUUCAAUGCAGAAGAGGCAUGGGUUAUGCAAAAAUAUGCGAGGCAAUAAAAAAGGGCAAGUGCCCGGAACCUCGACAAAAGAAAAAGAGUGAGACGAUAGGUAAAAAUGGACAAGUGUCCAGAGUAGAAUUAGGGGUACAAAGAUGCCCACUUGAGUGGAAAAAAUGGACAAGUGUCCGACAGUAGAAUUAGGGGUGUCUACUACCCACCUGAAAAAAGAAAAGAAAAAGAUAGCCCAUGUUCUCCCAAAGCAAAAAUCAAAGAAGAGGAGAGAUAGCAAUAUGAGGAGCAAUGAGAAGACCAUUACUAUCAUUUACUCCAUC
RNAcentral lists this long non-coding RNA (603 nucleotides) under Sorghum bicolor (sorghum). Its description in RNAcentral is "long non-coding RNA (SBIC_LNC012844)". The record is from RNAcentral. Lineage: Eukaryota; Viridiplantae; Streptophyta; Magnoliopsida; Poales; Poaceae.